Molecule: non-coding RNA, 127 nt
Organism: Xenopus laevis (African clawed frog)
Lineage: Eukaryota; Metazoa; Chordata; Amphibia; Anura; Pipidae
Source: Rfam
AUUCCUCAUCCUUACUCCAGGGUUAUUGUUGCUUGUACAUUCCCUGGCAUUAAUUGAGGAUAAAGUAAUUGCUCUGAUUUGCCUUUGGAAACUUGUUUUCCUUAGGGCUUAGUUAAGUGCAAACACU